AAUUAUUUAACUUUUAUAGUUUUAUGUUUUGAAAACAUAUGUAAGAAUUUAAUUAUUCUAAUAAUUU
RNAcentral lists this transfer RNA (67 nucleotides) under Platencyrtus parkeri. Its description in RNAcentral is "tRNA-Ser". Lineage: Eukaryota; Metazoa; Arthropoda; Insecta; Hymenoptera; Encyrtidae. The record is from RNAcentral.